GCAGGGCUGUGUGCACAGUGUCGGUCUGUGUCUAGUAAAGCAGCUUGUUGGCGUCCUGCUGGCUGGCUGCUGCACUCACACGAAUCCUGCGGCCCGAGAUAAUAAGGAGUUCAUAGUACUGGUCUAGUGACGUCUUCUGGACGCUCCCACCACUGGCCAGCCUCCAAAGUCUCUGACAAGG
Bufo bufo (common toad) is the source of this 181-nucleotide small nucleolar RNA. RefSeq annotates it as small nucleolar RNA SNORA23. The transcript has a single exon. NCBI's taxonomy places the organism in Eukaryota, Metazoa, Chordata, Amphibia, Anura, Bufonidae. The record is from RefSeq and is a predicted model, not a curated record.